RNAcentral lists this ribosomal RNA (252 nucleotides) under uncultured bacterium. RNAcentral's name for it is "partial 16S ribosomal RNA". It matches the Rfam family "Archaeal small subunit ribosomal RNA", at positions 474 to 727 of the family's 1478-position model. The record is from RNAcentral.
UACCAGCACCCCGAGUGGUCGGGACGAUAUUGGGCCUAAAGCAUCCGUAGCCGGUUUUACAAGUCCUCCGUUAAAUCCACCUGCUUAACAGAUGGGCUGCGGAGGAUACUACAAGGCUAGGAGGCGGAAGAGGCAAGCGGUACUCAGUGGGUAGGGGUAAAAUCCUCUGAUCCAUUGAAGACCACCAGUGGCGAAGGCGGCUUGCCAAUACGCGCUCGACGGUGAGGGAUGAAAGCUGGGGGAGCAAACCGG